This 433-nucleotide ribosomal RNA is filed under the name uncultured bacterium. Its description in RNAcentral is "partial 16S ribosomal RNA". It matches the Rfam family "Bacterial small subunit ribosomal RNA", at positions 29 to 507 of the family's 1533-position model. The record is from RNAcentral.
AACGAACGCUGGCGGCAUGCCUAACACAUGCAAGUCGAACGAGACCUUCGGGUCUAUUGGCGCACGGGUGCGUCACGCGUGGGAACCUGCCCUUAGGUUCGGAAUACCUCCCCGAAAGGGGUGCUAAUACCGGAUAAUGUCUUCUAACCAAAGAUUUAUCGCCUUUGGAUGGGCCCGCGUUGGAUUAGCUCGUUGGUAGGGUAAAAGCCUACCAAGGCGACGAUCCAUAGCUGGUCUGAGAGGAAGAUCAGCCACACUGGGACUGAGACACGGCCCAGACUCCUACGGGAGGCAGCAGUGGGGGAUAUUGGAAAAUGGGCGAAAGCCUGAUCCAGCAAUGCCGGGUGAGUGAUGAAGGUCUUAGGGUUGUAAAGCUCUUUUACCCGGGAUGAUAAUGACAGUACCGGGAGAAUAAGCUCCGGCUAACUCCGUG